Molecule: ribosomal RNA, 469 nt
Filed under: uncultured bacterium
Lineage: Bacteria
Description: bacterial SSU rRNA
Rfam family: Bacterial small subunit ribosomal RNA
Source: RNAcentral
ACUCCUACGGGAGGCAGCAGUGGGGAAUAUUGGACAAUGGGGGGAACCCUGAUCCAGCCAUGCCGCGUGUGUGAAGAAGGCCUUUUGGUUGUAAAGCACUUUAAGCGAGGAGGAGGCUCUCUUGGUUAAUACCUAAGAAGAGUGGACGUUACUCGCAGAAUAAGCACCGGCUAACUCUGUGCCAGCAGCCGCGGUAAUACAGAGGGUGCGAGCGUUAAUCGGAUUUACUGGGCGUAAAGCGCGCGUAGGUGGCUAAUUAAGUCAAAUGUGAAAUCCCCGAGCUUAACUUGGGAAUUGCAUUUGAUACUGGUUGGCUAGAGUAUGGGAGAGGAUGGUAGAAUUCCAGGUGUAGCGGUGAAAUGCGUAGAGAUCUGGAGGAAUACCGAUGGCGAAGGCAGCCAUCUGGCCUAAUACUGACACUGAGGUGCGUAAGCAUGGGGAGCAAACAGGAUUAGAUACCCUGGUAGUC